AACUCUGGGAUAAGCCUGGGAAACUGGGUCUAAUACCGGAUAGGAGCGCCCACCGCAUGGUGGGUGUUGGAAAGAUUUAUCGGUUUUGGAUGGACUCGCGGCCUAUCAGCUUGUUGGUGAGGUAAUGGCUCACCAAGGCGACGACGGGUAGCCGGCCUGAGAGGGUGACCGGCCACACUGGGACUGAGACACGGCCCAGACUCCUACGGGAGGCAGCAGUGGGGAAUAUUGCACAAUGGGCGAAAGCCUGAUGCAGCGACGCCGCGUGAGGGAUGACGGCCUUCGGGUUGUAAACCUCUUUCAGUAGGGAAGAAGCGAAAGUGACGGUACCUGCAGAAGAAGCACCGGCUAACUACGUGCCAGCAGCCGCGGUAAUACGUAGGGUGCGAGCGUUAUCCGGAAUUAUUGGGCGUAAAGAGCUCGUAGGCGGUUUGUCGCGUCUGUCGUGAAAGUCCGGGGCUUAACCCCGGAUCUGCGGUGGGUACGGGCAGACUAGAGUGCAGUAGGGGAGACUGGAAUUCCUGGUGUAGCGGUGGAAUGCGCAGAUAUCAGGAGGAACACCGAUGGCGAAGGCAGGUCUCUGGGCUGUAACUGACGCUGAGGAGCGAAAGCAUGGGGAGCGAACAGGAUUAGAUACCCUGGUAGUCCAUGCCGUAAACGUUGGGCACUAGGUGUGGGGACCAUUCCACGGUUUCCGCGCCGCAGCUAACGCAUUAAGUGCCCCGCCUGGGGAGUACGGCCGCAAGGCUAAAACUCAAAGGAAUUGACGGGGGCCCGCACAAGCGGCGGAGCAUGCGGAUUAAUUCGAUGCAACGCGAAGAACCUUACCAAGGCUUGACAUGUUCUCGAUCGCCGUAGAGAUACGGUUUCCCCUUUGGGGCGGGUUCACAGGUGGUGCAUGGUUGUCGUCAGCUCGUGUCGUGAGAUGUUGGGUUAAGUCCCGCAACGAGCGCAACCCUCGUUCCAUGUUGCCAGCACGUAAUGGUGGGGACUCAUGGGAGACUGCCGGGGUCAACUCGGAGGAAGGUGAGGACGACGUCAAAUCAUCAUGCCCCUUAUGUCUUGGGCUUCACGCAUGCUACAAUGGCCGGUACAAUGGGUUGCGAUACUGUGAGGUGGAGCUAAUCCCAAAAAGCCGGUCUCAGUUCGGAUUGGGGUCUGCAACUCGACCCCAUGAAGUCGGAGUCGCUAGUAAUCGCAGAUCAGCAACGCUGCGGUGAAUACGUUCCC
This 1230-nucleotide ribosomal RNA is filed under the name Micrococcus luteus. Its description in RNAcentral is "bacterial SSU rRNA". It matches the Rfam family "Bacterial small subunit ribosomal RNA", at positions 134 to 1375 of the family's 1533-position model. The record is from RNAcentral. Lineage: Bacteria; Bacillati; Actinomycetota; Actinomycetes; Micrococcales; Micrococcaceae.